Molecule: unclassified non-coding RNA, 274 nt
Filed under: Nitraria komarovii
Lineage: Eukaryota; Viridiplantae; Streptophyta; Magnoliopsida; Sapindales; Nitrariaceae
Description: partial trnL-trnF intergenic spacer
Source: RNAcentral
AAAAAGACCAUUCGGCUCCCUAACUAUUUCUCCUACCCUCUCUUUUUGUUAGUGGCUUAAAAUUCAUUAUGUUUCUCAUUCAUCCUACUCUUUUACAAACGUGUCCGAGCAGAAGUUUUUUCUCUUAUUACAAGUCGUGUGAUGUGUGAUAUAUAUGAUCCACGUACAAAUGAACACCCUUGAGCAAGGAAUUCCCAUUUGAAUAAUUCACAAUCCAUAUCAUUGCUCAUACUGAAACUUACAAAGUCUUCUUUUGGAAGAUUCAAUAAGGAAU